GACGAACGCUGGCGGCGUGCUUAACACAUGCAAGUCGAACGGAAAGGCCCUGCUUUUUUGUGGUUCUCGCGUCGCGAACGUGUGAGAUACACGUGAGUAACCUGCCCUUGACUUUGGGAUAACUUCAGGAAACUGGUGCUAAUACCUGAUAGCAGCUCCUGCUGCAUGGUGGUGGUUGGAAAUUUUCGUCGGUUGUGGAUGGACUCGCGGGUUAUUAGCUUGUGGGUUGGGUAGUUGUAUACCCAGGCUUUGACGGGUAGCCGGCAUGGGAGGGGGAACGGCCACCUGGGGACUGAGAGAGGGCGCAGACUGCUAUGGUGGGCAGUGGUGGGGAAUAUUGUCCAAUGGGGGGAAGCCUGAUGCAGAAACGUCCCGUGCGGGAAGAAGGCUUUCGGGUUGUAAACCGCUUUAGCCUGUGACGAAGCGUGAGUGACGGUAAUGGGUAAAGAAGCACCGGCUAACUACGUG
This 468-nucleotide ribosomal RNA is filed under the name uncultured bacterium. Its description in RNAcentral is "partial 16S ribosomal RNA". It matches the Rfam family "Bacterial small subunit ribosomal RNA", at positions 28 to 507 of the family's 1533-position model. The record is from RNAcentral.